AGGGUUCGAUUAUGGCUCAGGACGAACGCUGGCGGCAUGCUUAACACAUGCAAGUCGAACGAGAAAACUUCUUCGGAAGUGAUUAAAGUGGCGCACGGGUGAGUAACGCGUAGACAAUCUGCCCUUCAGUCCGGGACAACUUUCCGAAAGGGGAGCUAAUACCGGAUAACAAUGUUUAACAUAAGUUGAAUAUUUGAAAGCUCCGGCGCUGAUGGAUGAGUCUGCGUCCCAUUAGCUUGUUGGUGCGGUAGUGGCGCACCAAGGCCGCGAUGGGUAGCGGGUUUGAGAGGACGAUCCGCCACACUGGAACUGAGACACGGUCCAGACUCCUACGGGAGGCAGCAGUGGGGAAUAUUGCACAAUGGAGGAAACUCUGAUGCAGCAAUGCCGCGUGAGUGAAGAAGGCCCUUGGGUCGUAAAGCUCUUUUAUGGGGGAAGAUGAUGACGGUACCCCAGGAAUAAGCACCGGCUAACUACGUGCCAGCAGCCGCGGUAAUAC
This 499-nucleotide ribosomal RNA is filed under the name uncultured bacterium. Its description in RNAcentral is "bacterial SSU rRNA". It matches the Rfam family "Bacterial small subunit ribosomal RNA", at positions 8 to 526 of the family's 1533-position model. The record is from RNAcentral.